RNAcentral lists this ribosomal RNA (116 nucleotides) under Gammaproteobacteria bacterium. The record is from RNAcentral. Lineage: Bacteria; Pseudomonadati; Pseudomonadota; Gammaproteobacteria.
UCUGGCGGCAAUAGCAAGUUGGAACCACCUGAUCCCAUCUCGAACUCAGAAGUGAAACAGCUUAGCGCCGAUGGUAGUGUGGGGCCUCCCCAUGUGAGAGUAGGACACCGCCAGGC